UCCGGUUUGGCACCGGCAGUCUCCCUAGAGUUCCCGGCAUCACCCGCUGGCAACAUAGGACAAGGGUUGCGCUCGUUGCGGGACCUAACCCAACAUCUCACGACACGAGCUGACGACAACCAUGCACCACCUGUGUAGGGCCCCGAAGGACACCGUAUCUCUACGGCUUUUCCCUACAUGUCAAGGGUAGGUAAGGUUUUUCGCGUUGCAUCGAAUUAAUCCGCAUGCUCCGCCGCUUGUGCGGGCCCCCGUCAAUUCCUUUGAGUUUUAGCCUUGCGGCCGUACUUCCCAGGCGGGGCACUUAAUGCGUUAGCUACGGCACGGAGCCCGUCGAUCGAGCCCCACACCUAGUGCCCAACGUUUACGGCGUGGACUAC
RNAcentral lists this unclassified non-coding RNA (377 nucleotides) under uncultured Acidimicrobiia bacterium. RNAcentral describes it as "contains 16S-23S intergenic spacer region". Lineage: Bacteria; Bacillati; Actinomycetota; Acidimicrobiia. The record is from RNAcentral.